This 494-nucleotide ribosomal RNA is filed under the name uncultured bacterium. Its description in RNAcentral is "partial 16S ribosomal RNA". It matches the Rfam family "Bacterial small subunit ribosomal RNA", at positions 28 to 507 of the family's 1533-position model. The record is from RNAcentral.
GACGGACGCUGGCGGCGCGCUUAACACAUGCAAGUCGAACGGAAAGGCCUGCUUUCCCUUGUGGAUUGCGGGUACUCGAGUGGCGAACGGGUGAGUAACACGUGAGUGAUCUGCCCCCAACUUGGGUAUAAGCCUGGGAAACUGGGUCUAAUUCCCGAUAGGACUGCAGGGUGGUGCCUGUGGUGGAAAACGAUUUUCUAGUGGUUGGGGAUGAGCUCGCGGCCUAUCAGCUUGUUGGUGGGGUAAUGGCCUACCAAGGCGGCGACGGGUAGCCGGCCUGAGAGGGUGGACGGCCACAUUGGGACUGAGAUACGGCCCAGACUCCUACGGGAGGCAGCAGUGGGGAAUAUUGCACAAUGGGCGGAAGCCUGAUGCAGCGACGCCGCGUGGGGGAUGACGGCCUUCGGGUUGUAAACUCCUUUCGACCGCGAGGAAGCCACCUGGUUGGAAGGGUGGUGACGGUAGUGGUAGAAGAAGCACCGGCUAACUACGUG